GUGGGGAAUAUUGGGCAAUGGGCGCAAGCCUGACCCAGCAACGCCGCGUGAAGGAAGAAGGCUUUCGGGUUGUAAACUUCUUUUACCAGGGACGAAACAAAUGACGGUACCUGGUGAAUAAGCCACGGCUAACUACGUGCCAGCAGCCGCGGUAAUACGUAGGUGGCGAGCGUUAUCCGGAUUUAUUGGGUGUAAAGGGCGUGUAGGCGGGACAGCAAGUCAGAUGUGAAAACCAGAGGCUCAACCUCUGGCCUGCAUUUGAAACUGUUGUUCUUGAGUGUCGGAGAGGUAAUCGGAAUUCCGUGUGUAGCGGUGAAAUGCGUAGAUAUACGGAGGAACACCAGUGGCGAAGGCGGCCCCCUGGACUGACAUUGACGCUGAGGUGCGAAAGCGUGGGGAUCAAACAGGAUUAGAAACCCCAGUAGUCC
Molecule: ribosomal RNA, 428 nt
Filed under: uncultured bacterium
Lineage: Bacteria
Description: partial 16S ribosomal RNA
Rfam family: Bacterial small subunit ribosomal RNA
Source: RNAcentral